This 1930-nucleotide long non-coding RNA is filed under the name Vombatus ursinus (common wombat). RNAcentral describes it as "lncRNA (ENSVURG00010018430.1)". Lineage: Eukaryota; Metazoa; Chordata; Mammalia; Diprotodontia; Vombatidae. The record is from RNAcentral.
UCCUUUCAACCUCUGAUGUCCUAUUUGUCUCUGACCAGGCUGCUUUUUCCCACUCCACAGGCCCAGGGCUCCUCCUCUGCUGCCUCUGAGAAUAUCUACCAGGCUCUGCACGUCACCGAAGCAGAUGUUUAUGACAAGAUCACGCCCUGUAAGAAACCUCCAGCCCUUGGAAAAGGGAAAAUCACCAAGUCCUAGACUGUAGACCUAGAAGAAAUCUCAGAGGCCAUUGAAUCCAAGCCCUUCAUUUUUAUGCAUGAGGAACCCAAGGCACAUAGCUAGAAAGUGUCUUGGGUUGGAUUUGAAUCCAGGUCUUUCUUACUCCGGAUCUAGUGCCCUAUCCUCUGUACCUCACUACCUCUAACUGGUCCCUAGAGAAGCUUUCACAGUUUGACCAGUUCCCAUCAUUAAAGGGGGGGUGGGGUUCACACUCAGCUUUCAGGGGAGAAAGCUGAGAGACCAGAGGUGAGGAGGGGCCCAUUGGAAGAGAGAGAGAGGAAAGGAUAAGGGUUGGGAAGAGGCGAGGCAUCCAGAAAGGAAAGGGGCCAGGGCUACACAUGUCUGAGCCAGAUGGAAUCCCAAUCACACAGUGGCUGGACUUUAGACAAGGGAUCCUUGCUCCAUGAACCCAACAAUAUCAACACCUCUAUAUUUUCCUCUAAAAUGCCCAUACCCUCUGAGUCAAAAACCCCUCUAUUAGUGAUCUACAUUCUGGAGGUCACAAAAAGCUCCAGAAUGUAGAUCACUAAUAGAGGGGGUUUUGACACCAAAAUAUUCAUCUCAGCCCUUUUCUGUGGUCACAAAUAACUGGGAAUGGGGGCAACUAGGUGGCAGUGGAUAGAGCACUGGCCCUGGAGCCAGGAGGACCUGAGUUCAAAUCUGGCCUCAGACUUGACACCUACUCGACACUUGACACUUACUAGCUCUGUGACCCUAGGCAAGUCAUUUAGCUCCAUUGCCUAGCAAAAAAAAAAACCCAAAAAACAAAAAACGAAACAAACAAAAAAAGAAACCAAAUAACUGAGAACAAAUUAGGCCAUCAUCAGUUGGGGGAAGGAUGAACAAAUUGUGGAAUGUGAAUAGAAUGAAAUAUUACUGCACCAAAGGAAAUGAUAAGUAUGAAAAGGGCAGAGAAACAUGAGAAGAAUUACCUGAACUGAUACAGAGUGUAGUAAGUAAUAUUUAGAAGGGGGAGGGGAAUCAUGCACAGUGACUGCACAGUGACCAAGCCUGUCCCUGGGGAGAGUAUGAAAGAAUGUACUACACUCGCUUCUUUGUAGAGGUGGGAGACUAUGUAUGGGUGCUGAAUGCUGCAUGUCAGAUUCAAUCUGUUGGUUAGUUUUGUUGUAUUGCUCAUUUUUUUAUUCUUUCUUGUUAUUCUUUGUUACAAGCAGUGGCUUGUGUAGGGAAUAAGAAGAGAGAUUUAGAAAUGUCAGUGAUGUGAAAACAAAAUACGUAAAUAAUUUGCUCAACUGAACCUAACAUUCUUCCUCUGCCACCUCCUCCUCCUCACUCCCCCAAGCUGGUACCUCCUACAGGCUUCCCUGUUUCUGUUGAAGUCAACUCUAUCCUACUAGGCACCCAAGUUUGUAACUUCAGAGCCAUCCUUGACUCUUCACACUAAGUGUUACCUGAGGUCCAAAGGGAGUAGUUCCUGGGAAGGCUGCCCAAGGGAAGUGGCACCUGAAUUGUACAUUGAAGGAUGGAGACAAAUUCCAGGUAGAUUGGUGUUAGUGGUAAAAAUGGUCUGCCACCAUACCACCCCAAAAAAGAGGGCAAAUCUGGGUAUGGUUUCCAAAGUUCCAGAUAAUACCCCAUCACUCAGGAGUCAGGUCUGGGAGUUUUAAAAAUGAAGAGAAAAAUGUCCAAGAGGCUGAAGAAUGUUGGGGAUGGGGGGAAUAAAUAGCUAGCUGGCCCCUCUUUCUACUAAAGA